UACGUAGGGGGCAAGCGUUGUCCGGAUUCAUUGGGCGUAAAGAGCUCGUAGGUGGUUUGUCGCGUUGUCCGUGAAAACUCACAGCUCAACUGUGGGCGUGCGGGCGAUACGGGCUAGCUAGAGUGUGGUAGGGGAGAUCGGAAUUCCUGGUGUAGCGGUGAAAUGCGCAGAUAUCAGGAGGAACACCGGUGGCGAAGGCGGUUCUCUGGGCAUGUCCUGACGCUGAGGAGCGAAAGUGUGGGGAGCGAACAGG
Molecule: ribosomal RNA, 253 nt
Filed under: uncultured bacterium
Lineage: Bacteria
Description: partial 16S ribosomal RNA
Rfam family: Bacterial small subunit ribosomal RNA
Source: RNAcentral